GAUGAACGCUGGCGGCGUGCCUAAUACAUGCAAGUCGAGCGAACGGACGAGAAGCUUGCUUCUCUGAUGUUAGCGGCGGACGGGUGAGUAACACGUGGAUAACCUACCUAUAAGACUGGGAUAACUUCGGGAAACCGGAGCUAAUACCGGAUAAUAUUUUGAACCGCAUGGUUCAAAAGUGAAAGACGGUCUUGCUGUCACUUAUAGAUGGAUCCGCGCUGCAUUAGCUAGUUGGUAAGGUAACGGCUUACCAAGGCAACGAUGCAUAGCCGACCUGAGAGGGUGGUCGGCCACACUGGAACUGAGACACGGUCCAGACUCCUACGGGAGGCAGCAGUAGGGAAUCUUCCGCAAUGGGCGAAAGCCUGACGGAGCAACGCCGCGUGAGUGAUGAAGGUCUUCGGAUCGUAAAACUCUGUUAUUAGGGAAGAACAUAUGUGUAAGUAACUGUGCACAUCUUGACGGUACCUAAUCAGAAAGCCACGGCUAACUACGUGCCAGCAGCCGCGGUAAUACGUAGGUGGCAAGCGUUAUCCGGAAUUAUUGGGCGUAAAGCGCGCGUAGGCGGUUUUUUAAGUCUGAUGUGAAAGCCCACGGCUCAACCGUGGAGGGUCAUUGGAAACUGGAAAACUUGAGUGCAGAAGAGGAAAGUGGAAUUCCAUGUGUAGCGGUGAAAUGCGCAGAGAUAUGGAGGAACACCAGUGGCGAAGGCGACUUUCUGGUCUGUAACUGACGCUGAUGUGCGAAAGCGUGGGGAUCAAACAGGAUUAGAUACCCUGGUAGUCCACGCCGUAAACGAUGAGUGCUAAGUGUUAGGGGGUUUCCGCCCCUUAGUGCUGCAGCUAACGCAUUAAGCACUCCGCCUGGGGAGUACGACCGCAAGGUUGAAACUCAAAGGAAUUGACGGGGACCCGCACAAGCGGUGGAGCAUGUGGUUUAAUUCGAAGCAACGCGAAGAACCUUACCAAAUCUUGGCAUCCUUUGACAACUCUAGAGAUAGAGCCUUCCCCUUCGGGGGACAAAGUGACAGGUGGUGCAUGGUUGUCGUCAGCUCGUGUCGUGAGAUGUUGGGUUAAGUCCCGCAACGAGCGCAACCCUUAAGCUUAGUUGCCAUCAUUAAGUUGGGCACUCUAAGUUGACUGCCGGUGACAAACCGGAGGAAGGUGGGGAUGACGUCAAAUCAUCAUGCCCCUUAUGAUUUGGGCUACACACGUGCUACAAUGGACAAUACAAAGGGCAGCGAAACCGCGAGGUCAAGCAAAUCCCAUAAAGUUGUUCUCAGUUCGGAUUGUAGUCUGCAACUCGACUACAUGAAGCUGGAAUCGCUAGUAAUCGUAGAUCAGCAUGCUACGGUGAAUACGUUCCCGGGUCU
Molecule: ribosomal RNA, 1372 nt
Filed under: uncultured bacterium
Lineage: Bacteria
Description: bacterial SSU rRNA
Rfam family: Bacterial small subunit ribosomal RNA
Source: RNAcentral